Molecule: long non-coding RNA, 478 nt
Organism: Larimichthys crocea (large yellow croaker)
Lineage: Eukaryota; Metazoa; Chordata; Actinopteri; Sciaenidae
Exons: 3
Source: RefSeq, a predicted model, not a curated record
CCGGGCCGUGCCGGAGGCAUGGUUAGUGCGCACUGUCUCCCCCCACAACGCGCGUCCUGUCUCCCCCGGGCUGACCGCACAGACAGCAGGCACUGCAGAGGUGCCCCGGCCAAUCACCCUGGGGACAGAUGUACACUUCCAUUGGUUGACCCCUGGAGCUGGGGGAGGAGAUGCCACUGUCUGGCUCCUGACUGACCGAGUAUGGAUCUCUGCUGAAUCGCAUAGGGAGUCGUGCAAAGUUUGGAAAGGCUUCCCUCUGCAGGCUUCUUGUGGAACUGCACACCCACUUUGCUCACUCUUCUGGCCUUAAUUCUCACAUCUGCUACUGCCAGCAGUCUGUCUCUGCUCUGUUUUCCCAUUAGAGUCACAAAAAUAGGCCAAAGGGAGUAGGGGGAGACAACUACAAAGACAAAGUGGACGAGGGAGAGGAGAAGAAGAAGAUUUUGCACAAGUUUGUUAAAUUACAGCAGGUUUGCAG